Molecule: long non-coding RNA, 100 nt
Organism: Solanum tuberosum (potato)
Lineage: Eukaryota; Viridiplantae; Streptophyta; Magnoliopsida; Solanales; Solanaceae
Exons: 2
Source: RefSeq, a predicted model, not a curated record
GAAAUACCAAAGAUCGAAAAAAAUGGAUGAAUCCACAUACUGCUGGAAAAAGAGAAGGAAAGCCCCGAUGAGCUGUCAGCUAAAUAACUCUUUGUGGCUA